Molecule: ribosomal RNA, 797 nt
Filed under: Staphylococcus aureus
Lineage: Bacteria; Bacillati; Bacillota; Bacilli; Caryophanales; Staphylococcaceae
Description: partial 23S ribosomal RNA
Rfam family: Bacterial large subunit ribosomal RNA
Source: RNAcentral
CUGGGAGGACCAUCUCCUAAGGCUAAAUACUCUCUAGUGACCGAUAGUGAACCAGUACCGUGAGGGAAAGGUGAAAAGCACCCCGGAAGGGGAGUGAAAUAGAACCUGAAACCGUGUGCUUACAAGUAGUCAGAGCCCGUUAAUGGGUGAUGGCGUGCCUUUUGUAGAAUGAACCGGCGAGUUACGAUUUGAUGCAAGGUUAAGCAGUAAAUGUGGAGCCGUAGCGAAAGCGAGUCUGAAUAGGGCGUUUAGUAUUUGGUCGUAGACCCGAAACCAGGUGAUCUACCCUUGGUCAGGUUGAAGUUCAGGUAACACUGAAUGGAGGACCGAACCGACUUACGUUGAAAAGUGAGCGGAUGAACUGAGGGUAGCGGAGAAAUUCCAAUCGAACCUGGAGAUAGCUGGUUCUCUCCGAAAUAGCUUUAGGGCUAGCCUCAAGUGAUGAUUAUUGGAGGUAGAGCACUGUUUGGACGAGGGGCCCCUCUCGGGUUACCGAAUUCAGACAAACUCCGAAUGCCAAUUAAUUUAACUUGGGAGUCAGAACAUGGGUGAUAAGGUCCGUGUUCGAAAGGGAAACAGCCCAGACCACCAGCUAAGGUCCCAAAAUAUAUGUUAAGUGGAAAAGGAUGUGGCGUUGCCCAGACAACUAGGAUGUUGGCUUAGAAGCAGCCAUCAUUUAAAGAGUGCGUAAUAGCUCACUAGUCGAGUGACACUGCGCCGAAAAUGUACCGGGGCUAAACAUAUUACCGAAGCUGUGGAUUGUCCUUUGGACAAUGGUAGGAGAGCGUUCUAAGGGC